Molecule: ribosomal RNA, 303 nt
Filed under: Triticum aestivum (bread wheat)
Lineage: Eukaryota; Viridiplantae; Streptophyta; Magnoliopsida; Poales; Poaceae
Description: partial small subunit ribosomal RNA
Source: RNAcentral
AUGCGGUCACCUGUGUGGGCGCCACCUGUUGCUUCAGUGGCGGAGGGUACAAUUGGGCACCUGGCAGGCAGCCAUACCCCAACUGGGCCUACUACUGAUGACGUCAUAGCAUUCGGAGGGAUCUCGGACCGGAAGUCUGGAGACAUAUGGGUGAGUCACCGGAUUCAGGCUCAACCUGCUGAUGACCUGCAGUUGGGGCACGCCAUGCGGGCGGCCAAGCUUCGUGACAUCGAGGUCACUACAGGAGGAGUUUCGGGUCGACAUAUAACCAGGGAGCCAAGACCAAGGCUGCGAAAGCACUAG